This 404-nucleotide ribosomal RNA is filed under the name Bacillota bacterium. RNAcentral describes it as "Firmicutes bacterium partial 16S ribosomal RNA". It matches the Rfam family "Bacterial small subunit ribosomal RNA", at positions 355 to 776 of the family's 1533-position model. RNAcentral also lists the same sequence under 1 other name. The record is from RNAcentral. Lineage: Bacteria; Bacillati; Bacillota.
UGGGGAAUAUUGGACAAUGGGGGAAACCCUGAUCCAGCAAUGCCGCGUGAGUGAAGAAGGCCUUAGGGUUGUAAAGCUCUUUCAGCGGGGAAGAUGAUGACGGUACCCGCAGAAGAAGCCCCGGCUAACUCCGUGCCAGCAGCCGCGGUAAUACGGAGGGGGCUAGCGUUGUUCGGAAUUACUGGGCGUAAAGCGCACGUAGGCGGUGGCGCAUGUCAGAUGUGAAAGCCCUGGGCUUAACCUAGGAAUUGCAUUUGAAACUGCGUCGCUAGAGGCCGGAAGAGGGUAGUGGAAUUCCCAGUGUAGAGGUGAAAUUCGUAGAUAUUGGGAAGAACACCGGUGGCGAAGGCGGCUACCUGGUCCGGUUCUGACGCUGAGGUGCGAAAGCGUGGGGAGCAAACAGG